RNAcentral lists this ribosomal RNA (497 nucleotides) under uncultured bacterium. RNAcentral describes it as "partial 16S ribosomal RNA". It matches the Rfam family "Bacterial small subunit ribosomal RNA", at positions 28 to 507 of the family's 1533-position model. The record is from RNAcentral.
GAUGAACGCUGGCGGCGUGCCUAAUACAUGCAAGUCGAGCGAACAGACGAGGAGCUUGCUCCUCUGACGUUAGCGGCGGACGGGUGAGUAACACGUGGAUAACCUACCUAUAAGACUGGGAUAACUUCGGGAAACCGGAGCUAAUACCGGAUAAUAUAUUGAACCGCAUGGUUCAAUAGUGAAAGACGGUUUUGCUGUCACUUAUAGAUGGAUCCGCGCCGCAUUAGCUAGUUGGUAAGGUAACGGCUUACCAAGGCAACGAUGCGUAGCCGACCUGAGAGGGUGAUCGGCCACACGGGAACGGAGACACGGUCCAGACUCCUACGGGAGGCAGCAGUAGGGAAUCGGCCGCAAUGGGCGAAAGCUUGACGGAGCAACGCCGCGUGAGUGAUGAAGGUCUUCGGAUCGUAAAACUCUGUUAUUAGGGAAGAACAAAUGUGUAAGUAACUAUGCACGUCUUGACGGUACCUAAUCAGAAAGCCACGGCUAACUACGUG